AGUGCCUACGGGGGGCAGCAGUGAGGAAUAUUGGUCAAUGGCCGGAAGGCUGAACCAGCCAAGUCGCGUGAGGGAAUAAGGCCCUAUGGGUCGUAAACCUCUUUUGUCAGGGAGCAAAGGCGUCCACGUGUGGACGAGAGGAGAGUACCUGAAGAAAAAGCAUCGGCUAACUCCGGGCCAGCAGCCGCGGUAAUACGGAGGAUGCGAGCGUUAUCCGGAUUUAUUGGGUUUAAAGGGGGCGGAGGCGGAGUGUCAAGGCAGCGGUAGAAUUUCGGGGCCCAACCCCGUCGUGACGAUGAAACUGA
This 305-nucleotide ribosomal RNA is filed under the name uncultured bacterium. RNAcentral's name for it is "bacterial SSU rRNA". It matches the Rfam family "Bacterial small subunit ribosomal RNA", at positions 334 to 636 of the family's 1533-position model. The record is from RNAcentral.